UUUUGACAAAAAAAACAAAAAAUUGUUAAUUCACUCAGUUUUCCAAAACUUUUGGCAACGGAUCUCUGGGCUCUCGCAUCGAUGAAGAACGCAGCAAAACGCGAUAUGUAUGUCGACUUGCAGACGUGAAUCAUGAAUUUUUGAACGCACAUUGCGCGGAAAGGCAUUCCUCUCCGCAGGGCAGUCUGAGUGGAUAUCUUCUCACUACGUGGUCUAAAAAACUCGCACUCUCGCUACGCUCGAGUGCUUUUUUCCCUCAU
Molecule: unclassified non-coding RNA, 260 nt
Filed under: Metschnikowia sp. CLIB 1734
Lineage: Eukaryota; Fungi; Ascomycota; Pichiomycetes; Serinales; Metschnikowiaceae
Description: sequence contains ITS1, 5.8S rRNA gene and ITS2
Rfam family: 5.8S ribosomal RNA (bases 47-195)
About the family: 5.8S ribosomal RNA (5.8S rRNA) is a component of the large subunit of the eukaryotic ribosome. It is transcribed by RNA polymerase I as part of the 45S precursor that also contains 18S and 28S rRNA.
Source: RNAcentral